AAACAAACCACCGUAGAGUGUGGAUUGGAACGAGCGUAGUUGCGCGAUCGCGGUAGACGCGCGUGUCGUCGCACCCGCUCCGUGGCGGGGGUGGAUCAGCCGUCGUCGUGUGUACGUUUCGUGCGUACUUCCGGACCGGCGCGACGACUCACCCGUGGAAGCAAGGAAUACCCUAUACACUGCGUGUGAAUGUGAAUGAAGGAGAAUAAAGUGGUAGACAUGCAGACGAAGAUAAUGGAACAAAAACAAUCCUUUCGAUUGUUGUGAAUCUAAAGGAAGAACCUUGGUGAACCUAUGAUAUGAAGAUAAGGAAUAUAAGAAGGAUAAUGUGUUGCUAGAAUGUAUUUUUUUUUUCACUACACUACUAUUACACGGUUAUUCCCGCUUGCUCUGGGAGCAAUUAUUGCAAUGAUCAUUUUGAGAACCAGCGGCCAGCGGAUAUACAUCGUUAAUUUGAAAAAUUUUCGGUGUUCUCCCAGACAAUGAAGCAGAAGUAAUUUUAAUCGAUUAUCUUCGCCCACCGGAGGAAAGCACGGAGUAGCGCAGAGCAAUCGAAAACGAACGGACCAAGAGCCCGCCAGUAGCAAAAAUGGGAACGUAUUCUUGGGCCGAAAUUUUCUCCGUUUUCGGCGGAUCUGCACUACAAUUGCGACAUGGAUGUGUGCCGAUAACGCCAUACAUUGCCGGCUGGAGUCUUAUGGAGGAAGCGGACACAACUUCAUCCGAGGGUCAUUCGGUUGAUCUGAGGAUGAAUCAACUCAUCACUUCAACACGUGAUAUUUGUUUUGUUAAAAAUCAAUUUCUAUGAGAAAAUCAACAAACUGUUAUAUUUUUAUUAAACACAAAGUACUAAAUUAAGCGCAUAACUUCAAAAUUUGAGAUAUAUUCUAUUACAAACGUUUGGAAUCGUAAAUUCGGCAGCAGUUAAUAAAACGUUCGAGUUUAGAUUUUUCGACUUCGAAACUGAAAAAGACACUAUCCAUUGCAACCUCAUCAACGCCAUCUGAUGGAAGUCGAAAAGCGUAGGCUUGAUAGUUUGCUAUUAAUUCGCCAGAACUGUCGGUUUCACAAGAAACAAGAGGAAAGUAGAUUAAAAAUCACUUUUCAAACAGCCUAUUUAUUAUAUUAAAAAGCACAACUGAAAGUCUAGUUGAAGCGCACAAAACGAAAAGAAAUAGGUGCAAAAAGAGCGCUAAAGUAGAGAACAAAUACGUAUGUAGGUAGAUGCUUUUCUUCACCCUAAAUCAAUUCUUAUUAACGAUAAUUUAUAGAGUAAUGACGUUUUCUUUUAACCGUGAAAUCAGAUAAUGGUAACAUUGUUAUGCUGUUUACCUGAGAGCGAGCAGAACAGCAGCAAACAGACGUUAACAUGGAAUACCGUUCGGUGGCGACCGCACGUUAAACAACAAUGUUCAGAAAAUGAUUGCUUUCGUUGCAUAAAGUUUACCUAAAUGGCGAGGAACUUUUACAACAUGAUAGAUACAUUUGAUGCGAGGAUUUACAAACAAGAGAAAACAUAUCUAUCAUUGCUGAGAAGUGAGAACAGAACUGAAGGGAGCUAAAUGAUGCUGUUAAUGAAAGAAGAAGUAAUAAUAAAUUCGAUAUGAAUGCCUCUGUAAUUAUUAGAUUGUAGCCAGCAGACUAGUGAAAGGAAGAAAGUCUUAUUACAAAUUAGAGCAAAAUGAAACAUACAACAGAUCAUACACAUGUUUGUAGGGUAGCGCACAAAGCAACCAUUCAUACCCCGCAUAGAGUUUAAGAGAUUUGAGCAUGAGAAAAUAUUAAAGUAACAGUUUUUAUCAGCCAGCAAGAAAA
Molecule: long non-coding RNA, 1815 nt
Organism: Ochlerotatus camptorhynchus
Lineage: Eukaryota; Metazoa; Arthropoda; Insecta; Diptera; Culicidae
Exons: 3
Source: RefSeq, a predicted model, not a curated record